Molecule: ribosomal RNA, 371 nt
Filed under: uncultured organism
Description: bacterial SSU rRNA
Rfam family: Bacterial small subunit ribosomal RNA
Source: RNAcentral
CGUAGGGUGCGAGCGUUAAUCGGAAUUACUGGGCGUAAAGCGUGCGCAGGCGGUUUUGUAAGCCAGAUGUGAAAUCCCCGGGCUUAACCUGGGAAUGGCAUUUGGGACUGCAAGGCUUGAGUGCGGCAGAGGAGACUGGAAUUCCUGGUGUAGCAGUGAAAUGCGUAGAUAUCAGGAGGAAUACCGAUGGCGAAGGCAGGUCUCUGGGCUGACACUGACGCUCAUGCACGAAAGCGUGGGGAGCAAACAGGAUUAGAUACCCUGGUAGUCCACGCCCUGAACGAUGUCGACUGGUUGUUGGGGGUUUGACACUCUCAGUAACGAAGCUAACGCGUGAAGUCGACCGCCUGGGGAGUACGGCCGCAAGGUUA